GCCCCCGUGGUGGAACUGGUAGACACAGGAGCUUCAAAAACUCCCGCCUUCGGGCGUGCCCGUUCGAUUCGGGCCGGGGGCAUCA
This 85-nucleotide transfer RNA is filed under the name Gammaproteobacteria bacterium HGW-Gammaproteobacteria-1. RNAcentral's name for it is "tRNA-Leu". Lineage: Bacteria; Pseudomonadati; Pseudomonadota; Gammaproteobacteria. The record is from RNAcentral.